Molecule: ribosomal RNA, 253 nt
Filed under: uncultured bacterium
Lineage: Bacteria
Description: partial 16S ribosomal RNA
Rfam family: Bacterial small subunit ribosomal RNA
Source: RNAcentral
UACAGAGGGUGCGAGCGUUAAUCGGAAUUACUGGGCGUAAAGCGUGCGCAGUCGGUUAUGUAAGUCGGAUGUGAAAUCCCCGGGCUCAACCUGGGAAUUGCAUUCGAAACUGAAUAGCUAGAGUUCGGCAGAGGGAAGUGGAAUUUCCGGUGUAGCGGUGAAAUGGGUAGAUAUCGGGAGGAACAUCAGUGGCGAAAGCGACUUCCUGGACCAGAACUGACGAUCAGGCACGAAAGCGUGGGGAGCAAACAGG